This 301-nucleotide ribosomal RNA is filed under the name uncultured bacterium. RNAcentral describes it as "partial 16S ribosomal RNA". It matches the Rfam family "Bacterial small subunit ribosomal RNA", at positions 509 to 807 of the family's 1533-position model. The record is from RNAcentral.
CAGUCGCCGCGGGAAUACGAAGGGGGCUGGCGUUGCUCGGAAUGACUGGGCGUAAAGGGCGCGUAGGCGGCGAUCAAAGUCAGGCGUGAAAUUCCAGGGCUCAACCUGGGGGCUGCGCUUGAUACUUGGUUGCUUGAGUGGGGAAGAGGGUCGUGGAAUUCCCAGUGUAGAGGUGAAAUUCGUAGAUAUUGGGAAGAACACCGGUGGCGAAGGCGGCGACCUGGUCCUUGACUGACGCUGAGGCGCGAAAGCGUGGGGAGCAAACAGGAUUAGAUACCCCUGUAGUCCCUGUCUCUUAUAC